This 1448-nucleotide ribosomal RNA is filed under the name uncultured bacterium. Its description in RNAcentral is "partial 16S ribosomal RNA". It matches the Rfam family "Bacterial small subunit ribosomal RNA". The record is from RNAcentral.
AGUUUGAUCCUGGCUCAGAACGUACGCUGGCGGCACGCCUAACACAUGCAAGUCGAACGCAGUAGCAAUACUGAGUGGCAAACGGGUGAGUAUAAUGUGGGAAUCUGCCUUUUGGUUUGGAAUAACACGGGGAAACUUGUGCUAAUACCGAAUAAGCCCUUACGGGGAAAGUUUUAACGCCGAAAGAUGAGCCUGCACUUGAUUAGCUAGUUGGUAAGGUAAAGGCUUACCAAGGCAACGAUCAAUAGCUGUUCUUAGAGGAAGACCAGCCACAUUGGGACUGAGACACGGCCCAGACUCCUACGGGAGGCAGCAGUGGGGAAUCUUGCACAAUGGGGGAAACCCUGAUGCAGCGAUGCCGCGUGAGUGAAGAAGGCCUUUGGGUUGUAAAACUCUUUCGUCGGGGAAGAAAAUGACUGUACCCGAAUAAGAAGGUCCGGCUAACUUCGUGCCAGCAGCCGCGGUAAUACGAAGGGACCUAGCGUAGUUCGGAAUUACUGGGCUUAAAGAGCUCGUAGGUGGUUAAAAAAGUUGAUGGUGAAAUCCCAAGGCUCAACCUUGGAACUGCCAUCAAAACUUUUUAGCUAGAGUGUGAUAGAGGUAAGUGGAAUUUCUAGUGUAGAGGUGAAAUUCGUAGAUAUUAGAAAGAACACCAAAAGCGAAGGCAACUUACUGGGUCACUACUGACACUGAGGAACGAAAGCAUGGGUAGCGAAGAGGAUUAGAUACCCUCGUAGUCCAUGCCGUAAACGAUGUGUGUUAGACGUUGGAAAUUUAUUUUCAGUGUCGCAGCGAAAGCAUUAAACACACCGCCUGGGGAGUACGACCGCAAGGUUAAAACUCAAAUGAAUUGACGGGGACCCGCACAAGUAGUGGAGCAUGUGGUUUAAUUCGAAGAUACGCGCAGAACCUUACCAACACUUGACAUGUUCGUCGCGACUUUAAGAGAUUAAAGUUUUCGGUUCGGCCGGACGAAACACAGGUGCUGCAUGGCUGUCGUCAGCUCGUGUCGUGAGAUGUUCCGUUAAGUCGGAUAACGAGCGCAACCCUUACCCUUAUUUGCCAGCGGUUCGGCCGGGAACUAUAAGGGGACUGCCGGUGACAAACCGGAGGAAGGUGAGGACGACGUCAAGUCAUCAUGGCCCUUACGAGUAGGGCUACACACGUGCUACAAUGGGGAAUACAGACGGACGCUAAAGCGUGAGCUGGUGCUAAUCCUAAAAAAUUUCUCGUAGUCCGGAUUGCAGUCUGCAACUCGACUGCAUGAAGUCGGAAUCGCUAGUAAUCGCGAAUCAGCAUGUCGCGGUGAAUACGUUCUCGGGUCUUGUACACACCGCCCGUCACACCAUGGAAGUGUGUUGCACCAGAAGUAGGUAGUCUAACCUUCGGGAAGGCGCUUACCACGGUGUGAUCCAUGACUGGGGUGAAGUCGUAACAAGGUAACCGUA